UACGAAGGGUGCAAACGUUGCUCGGAAUUAUUGGGCGUAAAGCGCACGUAGGCGGUUUGGAAAGUCGGAUGUGAAAUCCCUCAGCUCAACUGAGGAAGUGCAUCCGAAACCUCCAGACUUGAGUACUUAAGAGGAUCGCGGAAUUCCCGGUGUAGAGGUGAAAUUCGUAGAUAUCAGGAAGAACACCCGUGGCUAAGGCGGUUCUCUAGUACGGUACUGACGCUGAGACGCGAAAGCGUGGGGAGCGAACAGG
Molecule: ribosomal RNA, 253 nt
Filed under: uncultured bacterium
Lineage: Bacteria
Description: partial 16S ribosomal RNA
Rfam family: Bacterial small subunit ribosomal RNA
Source: RNAcentral